CACAAGCUCAUGCACAACUUCCGUUGGCAAAUAUAUGGCUAGAACAUGGUAAUAAAUUCGUGGAAAAUCCUCGGCAUAAUCUCGUAUGUACGCGUUUAAAAAUCGACACCAUGACAUAUGAUCAGUUCUCCUGGAGGCCUUAUGUCAACUUCAAUUACAACAACGAAGAAGAAAGCCAGAUAUGGUCUGCAAACACAUAUCUCAUCUGUUUUCAGAUUGUCGAGAGACAUCAGACAGACAGAGUAAGGCUUCAAUUUGG
Molecule: long non-coding RNA, 259 nt
Organism: Medicago truncatula (barrel medic)
Lineage: Eukaryota; Viridiplantae; Streptophyta; Magnoliopsida; Fabales; Fabaceae
Exons: 3
Source: RefSeq, a predicted model, not a curated record